CCUUUCCUGCCGCCCAGGCCUUGGAGAGACCCAAGGCCUGUGGGCCACGGCUGGGCCUCUCCUGACUCCAGCUUGCCCUUCUGUCCUUGGGGGCAGCGUCCUUCCUUCUCUCGGCCCCUUGGAGCUGCUCUGCGGGAGCCCCACAGCAGCCCAGCAGAUUGAACGCAAAAGACUGCCACCCUCCUGCUCCGGAUCCUGGGAGGAGGCUACAGGCUGGCGCUGCGACAGCAACCUGCCUGGCCUGGGAAGCCCCUGCAGCCCCUACAUCAGAAGCUUGCUCUUGGCGCAGUGGCUCAUGCCUGUAAUCCCAGCA
RNAcentral lists this small RNA (313 nucleotides) under Pongo abelii (Sumatran orangutan). Its description in RNAcentral is "retained intron". The record is from RNAcentral. Lineage: Eukaryota; Metazoa; Chordata; Mammalia; Primates; Hominidae.